Molecule: ribosomal RNA, 409 nt
Filed under: bacterium
Lineage: Bacteria
Description: partial 16S ribosomal RNA
Rfam family: Bacterial small subunit ribosomal RNA
Source: RNAcentral
UGGGGAAUAUUGCACAAUGGGCGAAAGCCUGAUGCAGCGACGCCGCGUGAGGGAUGACGGCCUUCAGGUUGUAAACCUCUUUCAGCAGGGACGAAGCGCAAGUGACGGUACCUGCAGAAGAAGCACCGGCUAACUACGUGCCAGCAGCCGCGGUAAUACGUAGGGUGCAAGCGUUGUCCGGAAUUACUGGGCGUAAAGAGUUCGUAGGCGGUUCGUCGCGUCGGUUGGUAAAACCAGCAGCUCAACUGCUGGCUUGCAGGCGAUACGGGCAGACUUGAGUACUGCAGGGGAGACUGGAAUUCCUGGUGUAGCGGUGAAAUGCGCAGAUAUCAGGAGGAACACCGGUGGCGAAGGCGGGUCUCUGGGCAGUAACUGACGCUGAGGAACGAAAGCGUGGGUAGCGAACAGG